UCCGGUUUGUCACCGGCAGUCACUCUAGAGUGCCCAACUGAAUGCUGGCAACUAGAAUCAAGGGUUGCGCUCGUUGCGGGACUUAACCCAACAUCUCACGACACGAGCUGACGACAACCAUGCACCACCUGUCACGCUGUCCCCGAAGGGAACGCUCUGUCUCCAGAGUUGUCAGCGGAUGUCAAGACCUGGUAAGGUUCUUCGCGUUGCUUCGAAUUAAACCACAUGCUCCACCGCUUGUGCGGGCCCCCGUCAAUUCUUUUGAGUUUCAGCCUUGCGGCCGUACUCCCCAGGCGGAGUGCUUAAUGCGUUAACUUCAGCACUAAGGGGCGGAAACCCCCUAACACCUAGCACUCAUCGUUUACGGCGUGGACUAC
This 377-nucleotide unclassified non-coding RNA is filed under the name uncultured Bacillaceae bacterium. Its description in RNAcentral is "contains 16S-23S intergenic spacer region". The record is from RNAcentral. Lineage: Bacteria; Bacillati; Bacillota; Bacilli; Caryophanales; Bacillaceae.